RNAcentral lists this long non-coding RNA (657 nucleotides) under Olea europaea subsp. europaea. Lineage: Eukaryota; Viridiplantae; Streptophyta; Magnoliopsida; Lamiales; Oleaceae. The record is from RNAcentral.
AUAGGAUUCUCGGUUAAUCCAUUCUUAUGACUACACUACGAUGCAAAAACAUUUAUUUCCCUUGGAAAACAAUGAAAUGCACAAGAGACCAUCCUUCUGUUGCAGCAUGAUUUUUAGAUUCACGGGCAACGACCUAGGGAUGGGUUUCCCUUCGACAGGGGGAUAGGAGUCGACCUAUUUAGAGCAUAUCAAAAUCAAGAGGUAAUUCUGGUUAAACCUAGUAAGGCAACCGAAUUGGGAGUUAAAGGAUUCAUCAAACAUGCACAAAAUUCAACUAUACAGAAAAAGAAAUGCUAGAUGGCUCUUAGUAAUCAAGUUUAAAUGGUUUCCCAUUUCCCCCAAAGCCAGAAUUCAGGUUCUAUCGAGUAUUGUAUACGCAACAUGCACUAAGUGUACAUACAUAAUGUCUUUUGUUGGUGAUGAUUGAGCUAUAUUACCUAGUGAUUAAAUGGAUCAAAUAAAGGUAAUUUUGCAUAACGAACAGCAAGAGAGAAUAAAAAUUUGGUGAAUUCUGAGGAGAGGAGAGAAAGGAGAAAAUUGAUUUACUUUCCCAAGACUUGGGCAAAAUCGCUCAUUAAGACAUCAAACUCGUCACUUUCUCGGAUGUUUAUGUAAUAAAGAUAAAUGUAGCAGUUCAAAAUGUUGAUUAGGGAUCUA